GCUCAGAGCUCUCCUUACCCUGGCAACCCCCACUUACCCAAGGCGCUCCAGGGGUCAGGUGGGAGGGGAGGGGAGAGAAUCAGAGAGAGGCAAAGAAGGACCGGGACUGAGACCUUUCCUUCUUGGGUGACUUUUCUUUUUUAUUAGAGAGGCUGGAGGGUGUGGAGAAAACCGAGGGGGGACAGUAGCUGAGUGACACUGUGAGAGAAUGUGAAGGAUUUUUCUGACCCGUGUAGUCCAGCAGCUGUGGACACAUCCACAGUGAGUCAGUGUGGGGAGUGUGGGGGUGUCCCUUUGACUAUAUUUUAGGUGGUCUGGGUGUGAGUGUCUGCCUUUUACUAUGCAUGUAAAGAAGAUGCCAGGGAGCCCGUGUGUGGUAUUGGUGGGCAUGGCUAAGUGUGAAUGAGUAUGCUGUGCUUGCAGUUGUGAAAGGGGCAUAGAGCCAGCCAGUUCUGAGUAGGGGGUAGGGAGGUAGGAAGGAGUGUUUAAAUGAGUCCCAAACCCAUCUGCUGGCGAAACCAUCCAGAUAUCCCAGUAUGUAUGUGCAUGUGUGUGUGUGUGCUGUUUCUGCAAAGAUGUGUGUACACACAUCUCAAGAUUGUGCUUGUGUGUGUGUGGAGGUGUGGGAAAUUGAAACGGUGCAGAGCAUGCCUCUGAGUAUCCUUGAGCGUCCUGGUCUCUGCGUGGGCUAGCCUGUGCUCCCGCCUCUGGGGGUCAGGGUUGUGGCAGAGCUAGGGGAUCGGCCCUUGGUUUGGACCAAGUCUAAGAACUGCUGCAAGGCAGGAGAGGCCUUGAGGUGUUGGGUGAGGGGGGUAGAGAGAAGAGGGCAGGCUGGGACCGGGGCCGUGGUAGGAGAGCUGCAGAGACCCUCCUCUUGGUUUUUGCUCCAAUUCGGGCCCUCUUUCCUGACUCCCUUCUUUGCCCCACUGGCCGGGGUGCAGAGACGGGCUGCCAUGGGGCUCUCCGGAGCCAGUUCCGGGGCGGGGCCCAGAGGAGGAAGGGUGUUGAGCCCAGAGGCGGUCAGGACCUGGGGCAGCUCCCAUCACCCGGCGGGGCGGGCCUGGCCCCGCCCGGCGGGGAAACGGGGACUCUCUGGAGGAGAGACUGGAUGCUUCGCCGAGGGUUGGGCCAGGAUUGCUGAGAGUCAGCCCCAGGGAGCGUAAAGGGACUGCAUCUGUCACUGAAGAUCGGGACGGGAGGCUCUGGGACAGGAAGGUCCUGACAGGCUCGCGGGUGAGCUCCGCGCUGGACUUGGCCAUGGCGGCCGUUGCUGCCGGUGUUGCUGCAGAGGAGCCGCUGCCGCCGCUGCCGCCGCCGGGGAGCCGCGGCACAUGCUAGACCCGGCUCCGGCAGGGCCCCGGCGCUGAGCGCUGCAGCAGCCGCGGAGCCCGCUCCUGUCAGGGGCGGCUGCGCGAGCGCUCCUCCCCCCGCCUCGGAGCGCCGGGUCUCCCGCCCCUCCCGGAGAGGUGCCAGACUGAGCAUGCGCGCCGCGCCUCGGAGCCGCGUGAGACCCCGCGCGCGCUCGCGCCCACCCCUCCCGCCGGCCCCCGCGUGCGACGCCCUGUGCUUGUCUCCUGGAGCCCGGGUCAUCUCCCAGGCGGGGGGCAGGGUCCCCACUUUUCGUGUCACCCCACUCCUCGGGCACUGUGAGCAGAACCCAUUUCUUUUGUUUGUAGCUCUGUGUACCCCUUGCCGGGUCAUUCUUGCAAGGCUCCUCCCUUUUCAUUUCUUGCUCGGGACCCGUCCAGGUUGUCCUUGCUGAACCGCGAAGGAAGGAACUCGCGGCUGAGGGCAAUGUUGGGAGAGGACCUGGCCGGAUCUAGAGCAGUUUAUCCUUCUUUUCCCGCUUGCCCAGCCUUGGGGAUCCCUGCGGCGUCCUUGGCACCGUCCCCGCGGGUGUGCGGCCGAGAGUAGCACCUGGGAAUUCCCGCGCCACCUCCUCCCUGCUGGCAGCUCUGCAAACACCUCCAUCCCCAUCCCGGAGCCUUACGCUCAGGUCCUGGAGACAGGGAGGAAGGCUAAGGGGAUGCAGACUUGGGAUCCAGGAGAACCUUAAGGGCAUCCCGUCCACUCAAAUUUAGGCUCUCUGCUUGGCUAACACACCUAUGCACCCUACGCUGAAAAAUGAACAUUGAUUCAAA
Molecule: non-coding RNA, 2141 nt
Organism: Sus scrofa (pig)
Lineage: Eukaryota; Metazoa; Chordata; Mammalia; Artiodactyla; Suidae
Source: RefSeq, a predicted model, not a curated record